GGGCCGGUAGCUCAGCUAGGUAGAGCGAUGGGCUUUUAACCCAUAGGUCCCGGGUUCGAAUCCCGGCCGGCCCG
RNAcentral lists this transfer RNA (74 nucleotides) under Thermofilum sp. RNAcentral's name for it is "tRNA-Lys". It matches the Rfam family "tRNA". Rfam says of the family: Transfer RNA (tRNA) molecules are approximately 80 nucleotides in length. Their secondary structure includes four short double-helical elements and three loops (D, anti-codon, and T loops). Lineage: Archaea; Thermoproteati; Thermoproteota; Thermoprotei; Thermofilales; Thermofilaceae. The record is from RNAcentral.